Molecule: ribosomal RNA, 1243 nt
Filed under: Escherichia coli
Lineage: Bacteria; Pseudomonadati; Pseudomonadota; Gammaproteobacteria; Enterobacterales; Enterobacteriaceae
Description: partial 23S ribosomal RNA
Rfam family: Bacterial large subunit ribosomal RNA
Source: RNAcentral
UUAGUGGAAGCGUCUGGAAAGGCGUGCGAUACAGGGUGACAGCCCCGUACACAAAAAUGCACAUAUUGUGAGCUCGAUGAGUAGGGCGGGACACGUGGUAUCCUGUCUGAAUAUGGGGGGACCAUCCUCCAAGGCUAAAUACUCCUGACUGACCGAUAGUGAACCAGUACCGUGAGGGAAAGGCGAAAAGAACCCCGGCGAGGGGAGUGAAAAAGAACCUGAAACCGUGUACGUACAAGCAGUGGGAGCCUCUUAAUGGGGUGACUGCGUACCUUUUGUAUAAUGGGUCAGCGACUUAUAUUCUGUAGCAAGGUUAACCGAAUAGGGGAGCCGAAGGGAAACCGAGUCUUAACUGGGCGUUAAGUUGCAGGGUAUAGACCCGAAACCCGGUGAUCUAGCCAUGGGCAGGUUGAAGGUUGGGUAACACUAACUGGAGGACCGAACCGACUAAUGUUGAAAAAUUAGCGGAUGACUUGUGGCUGGGGGUGAAAGGCCAAUCAAACCGGGAGAUAGCUGGUUCUCCCCGAAAGCUAUUUAGGUAGCGCCUCGUGAAUUCAUCUCCGGGGGUAGAGCACUGUUUCGGCAAGGGGGUCAUCCCGACUUACCAACCCGAUGCAAACUGCGAAUACCGGAGAAUGUUAUCACGGGAGACACACGGCGGGUGCUAACGUCCGUCGUGAAGAGGGAAACAACCCAGACCGCCAGCUAAGGUCCCAAAGUCAUGGUUAAGUGGGAAACGAUGUGGGAAGGCCCAGACAGCCAGGAUGUUGGCUUAGAAGCAGCCAUCAUUUAAAGAAAGCGUAAUAGCUCACUGGUCGAGUCGGCCUGCGCGGAAGAUGUAACGGGGCUAAACCAUGCACCGAAGCUGCGGCAGCGACACUAUGUGUUGUUGGGUAGGGGAGCGUUCUGUAAGCCUGUGAAGGUGGCCUGUGAGGGUUGCUGGAGGUAUCAGAAGUGCGAAUGCUGACAUAAGUAACGAUAAAGCGGGUGAAAAGCCCGCUCGCCGGAAGACCAAGGGUUCCUGUCCAACGUUAAUCGGGGCAGGGUGAGUCGACCCCUAAGGCGAGGCCGAAAGGCGUAGUCGAUGGGAAACAGGUUAAUAUUCCUGUACUUGGUGUUACUGCGAAGGGGGGACGGAGAAGGCUAUGUUGGCCGGGCGACGGUUGUCCCGGUUUAAGCGUGUAGGCUGGUUUUCCAGGCAAAUCCGGAAAACCAAGGCUGAGGCGUGAUGACGAGGCACUAC